GCGUGAGUGAUGAAGGUCUUAGGAUUGUAAAGCUCUUUCACCGGUGAAGAUAAUGACGGUAACCGGAGAAGAAGCCCCGGCUAACUUCGUGCCAGCAGCCGCGGUAAUACGAAGGGGGCUAGCGUUGUUCGGAAUUACUGGGCGUAAAGCGCAUGUAGGCGGAUAUUUAAGUCAGGGGUGAAAUCCCAGAGCUCAACUCUGGAACUGCCUUUGAUACUGGGUAUCUUGAGUAUGGAAGAGGUAAGUGGAAUUCCGAGUGUAGAGGUGAAAUUCGU
Molecule: ribosomal RNA, 275 nt
Filed under: uncultured bacterium
Lineage: Bacteria
Description: partial 16S ribosomal RNA
Rfam family: Bacterial small subunit ribosomal RNA
Source: RNAcentral